GGAGCGUUAGUUCAGCUGGUUAGAAUACCUGCCUGUCACGCAGGUGGUCACAGGUUCGAGUCCCGUACGUUCCG
RNAcentral lists this transfer RNA (74 nucleotides) under Caudoviricetes sp. Its description in RNAcentral is "tRNA-Asp". It matches the Rfam family "tRNA". Rfam says of the family: Transfer RNA (tRNA) molecules are approximately 80 nucleotides in length. Their secondary structure includes four short double-helical elements and three loops (D, anti-codon, and T loops). Lineage: Duplodnaviria; Heunggongvirae; Uroviricota; Caudoviricetes. The record is from RNAcentral.